CCUACGGGCGGCAGCAGUAGGGAAUUUUCGUCAAUGGGCGCAAGCCUGAACGAGCAAUGCCGCGUGAACGAGGAAGGUCUUCGGAUCGUAAAGUUCUGUUGAAGGGGAAAAAGAGCGGAGAGAGGAAAUGCUUUCUGAUUGAUAUUACCCUUCGAGGAAGUCACGGCUAACUACGUGCCAGCAGCCGCGGUAAUACGUAGGUGGCGAGCGUUAUCCGGAAUGAUUGGGCGUAAAGGGUGCGUAGGCGGCCUGCUAAGUCUGGAGUGAAAGGUACCGGCUCAACCGGUACAGGCUCUGGAAACUGGCGGGCUAGAUAUCAGGAGGAAUACCGUUAGCGAAGGCGGCAAUCUGGCUGGAAACUGACGCUGAGGUGCGAAAGCGUGGGUAGCAAACAGGAUUAGAUACCCCUGUAGUC
Molecule: ribosomal RNA, 415 nt
Filed under: uncultured bacterium
Lineage: Bacteria
Description: partial 16S ribosomal RNA
Rfam family: Bacterial small subunit ribosomal RNA
Source: RNAcentral